UUUUGACUGAAUACAUGUUUGUUUUAUUUGUCUAUAUCUUAGAUUCGCAGCUGGACACAUCCUUCUACACUGUAUGCAAACAUGCAACAUCAUAACACACAGUACAAGGAGUCAGACUGGCAUAUGAGGAGCAAAGGAACCCAGACAGUAGCAUCGUUUCACAAUGUUUCCAUCACCAUCAUCAGUGGAUGCCUUUGCCGUCCGUAGCCUGAGAUUUCAGAUUUGCAGCAAAAAAAAAAUGAUUUUCUCAUUUAUUGGAAUGCUGUGCAGGUAUUUGUUCCUUGCAGCCAUCCAUUACAAUGUCACCAAGCCGUAACAAAAGCAGGAGAGGGAAAGUACAAGGCUAUGUUCCCAAAACACACAAGUGACAUACCUUAUGUGGAGGAUGUGAUCAGGCUUGUGUUUGAUGAGGUAUUUGAAGAUAAGCUGAAGGAAACCCCGAUUCCAAUGGACCUGGCAUCACAGUUUGAGAGACCUUCAAAGGAGGACGUGAUUGCAUGCCAUCUUCAGUGCAGGGGUCGUCGAAAGCCAAAAUUGUGACCGAUCUGAUCAGGAAGCUCCAAGCGUAUCUGGAGAACAACACACGACAGGAUGAUAACCUUAUAGUGUCGUCUUAGAUAGCACCAGCUGACAAAGCUUUGAUAUGCCAUUUAUCUGAAUAGAUAGCUGUAAGAAAUGAAUUGAACAAUUUUUGAAAGAAGAGCACAAUAUGGUUACUAAAGUAUGUUUAUUUGUAUAUUGUUUAACAUUUAAAUAUAUAUUUGUAAUAAAUAAAAAAAACUUUUGACUGACUAUUA
Molecule: non-coding RNA, 797 nt
Organism: Paramisgurnus dabryanus
Lineage: Eukaryota; Metazoa; Chordata; Actinopteri; Cypriniformes; Cobitidae
Source: RefSeq, a predicted model, not a curated record